RNAcentral lists this ribosomal RNA (380 nucleotides) under uncultured eukaryote. RNAcentral's name for it is "partial 18S ribosomal RNA". It matches the Rfam family "Eukaryotic small subunit ribosomal RNA", at positions 592 to 976 of the family's 1831-position model. The record is from RNAcentral.
CAAUAGCGUAUAUUAAUGUUGUUGCAGUUAAAAAGCUCGUAGUUGGAUUUGUGGCGUACGACGGGCUCCGGGCACUUGUUGUCUGAGUAGCUUGUCGUUGCCAUCCUUGGGUGGAACCUGUGUGGCAUUAGGUUGUCGUGCAGGGGAUGCCCAUCUUUUACUGUGAAAAAAUUAGAGUGUUCAAAGCAGGCUUAUGCCGUUGAAUAUAUUAGCAUGGAAUAAUAAGAUAGGACUUUGUCGCUAUUUUGUUGGUUUGCGCGAUAAGGUAAUGAUUAAUAGGGACAGUUGGGGGUAUUCGUAUUCCAUUGUCAGAGGUGAAAUUCUUGGAUUUUUGGAAGACGAACUACUGCGAAAGCAUUUACCAAGGAUGUUUUCAUUAA